CAACAUGUGACCUCACUUUUGAUGACUGUCUUCUGACUGGAAAAGAAAUGGAGCCACGGAGAAUACCUCCCACGCAUGCAGGGAGAAGACUUUUCCAAAAACAGGAGGCAGUGAAAACAUGAGGCUGCAAGAUCUUACUGUUGCAUUUGCAUUUGUACACCAAGACUGGAAAUCCCCCUGCACCUGAUGUUCUCUGCAAGACAUUGCACCAUCCGUCCCACGCUAGGCUCUGAGUAAAAUGAGAGCGUACCAAGCACAGGACACAGCCUGGGAAACAGCAUCUCGUCUGGCUGCAGUACUUGAGCUCCUCCAGGCCCAAGGCUGUAAAAUUGGAAUUACUUUUUUUUUCCAGUUGCAAUAGUAUUAGGCUUUUUCCCAAACGUCAUGUGUAAAUAAAGGAAAUCAAAUUGUU
Aquila chrysaetos chrysaetos is the source of this 412-nucleotide long non-coding RNA. RefSeq lists it as uncharacterized. NCBI's taxonomy places the organism in Eukaryota, Metazoa, Chordata, Aves, Accipitriformes, Accipitridae. The transcript has 2 exons. The record is from RefSeq and is a predicted model, not a curated record.